UUAGGGAAACCUGAGCUAAUACCGCAUAUGCCCGUUCGGGGUGAAAGUCUUCGGACGCCAGAGGAUCGGCCUGCGGCCAUUAUUUAAUCCUUGUUGGUGGGGUAACGGCCUACCAAGGGUACGAUGGGUAGCUGGUCUGAGAGGAUGAUCAGCCACACUGGGACUGAGACACGGCCCAGACUCCUACGGGAGGCAGCAGGUGGGGAAUAUUGGACAAGUCGGGGGAAACCCUGAUCCAGCUACGCCGCGUGGGUGAUGAAGGCCGUUCGGGUUAGUAAACGCCCUGUCGAGGGGGACGAAGUUCUGACGGUACCCCUCAAGAAAGCACCGGCUAACUCCGUG
This 342-nucleotide ribosomal RNA is filed under the name uncultured bacterium. RNAcentral describes it as "bacterial SSU rRNA". It matches the Rfam family "Bacterial small subunit ribosomal RNA", at positions 148 to 507 of the family's 1533-position model. The record is from RNAcentral.